Molecule: ribosomal RNA, 254 nt
Filed under: uncultured prokaryote
Description: partial 16S ribosomal RNA
Rfam family: Bacterial small subunit ribosomal RNA
Source: RNAcentral
UAAUACGUAGGGGGCAAGCGUUGUCCGGAUUUAUUGGGCGUAAAGAGCGUGUAGGCGGCCAGGUAGGUCCGUUGUGAAAACUCGAGGCUCAACCUCGAGACGUCGAUGGAAACCAUCUGGCUAGAGUCCGGAAGAGGAGAAUGGAAUUCCCGGUGUAGCGGUGAAAUGCGCAGAUAUCGGGAAGAACACCCGUGGCGAAGGCGGUUCUCUGGGACGGUACUGACGCUGAGACGCGAAAGCGUGGGGAGCGAACA